This 406-nucleotide ribosomal RNA is filed under the name uncultured bacterium. RNAcentral describes it as "partial 16S ribosomal RNA". It matches the Rfam family "Bacterial small subunit ribosomal RNA", at positions 30 to 526 of the family's 1533-position model. The record is from RNAcentral.
AUUGCACGCUGGCGGCGGGCCUAACACAUGCAAGUCGAACGAGUGGCGGACGGGUGAGUAAUGGCUGGGAAACUGACCGAUGGAGGGGGAGAACUCCUGGAAACGGUAGCUAAUAACGCAUACCAUCGGAUGUGCCCAGAUGGGAUUGGCUAGUAGGUGGGGUAACGGCUCACCUAGGCGUCGAUCCCUAGCUGGUCUGCGAGGAUGCCCAGCCACACUGGAACUGAGACACGGUCCAGACUCCUACGUGAGGCAGCAGUGGGGAAUAUUGCACAAUGGGCGCAAGCCUGAUGCAGCCAUGCCGCGUGUAUGAAGAAGGCCUUCGGGUUGUAAAGUACUUUCAGCGAGGAGGCGUUACUCGCAGAAGAAGCACCGGCUAACUCCGUGCCAGCCGCCGCGGUAAUUC